This 72-nucleotide transfer RNA is filed under the name Cordylochernes scorpioides. RNAcentral describes it as "tRNA-Gly". It matches the Rfam family "tRNA". Rfam says of the family: Transfer RNA (tRNA) molecules are approximately 80 nucleotides in length. The record is from RNAcentral. Lineage: Eukaryota; Metazoa; Arthropoda; Arachnida; Pseudoscorpiones; Chernetidae.
ACUAUCGGUGGUUCAGUGGUAGAAUGCUCCCCUGCCAUAUGGGCGGCCCGGGUUCGAUUCCCGGCCGAUGCA